This is a long non-coding RNA of Passer domesticus (house sparrow), 1009 nucleotides long. RefSeq lists it as uncharacterized. The transcript is spliced from 4 exons. Lineage: Eukaryota; Metazoa; Chordata; Aves; Passeriformes; Passeridae. The record is from RefSeq and is a predicted model, not a curated record.
CCCAAUCCCCAUCCCGAUCCUAAUCCCGACCCCCAUCCCGCUCCCGGGACGGGCUGUAACGCCGGAGCAUCGCCCGGGGGCCGGGCGGCAGAUUGAAGUUACGAUGAGAAAAUCUACUUCAUGAUUUCAACGCUUUCAUUCAGUCUAGACAUCUACAUCACAUUCUCCCUCCCUCACAGAACGUGACAGCUGGACUUAAAAUGAACUGAAGCACUAUUUGCAGAGAGCACACCAUGCUGAGUUUGCUGCCCUUUGAGGAAAAAACCGCCAAGGACUGCAGAAGAAUGGCCCAGGGCCAAAAUAUGAAAGGUCACACCUUCCUUUUCCUGUACAAAUAAAGUUGGGGAAAUUAUGAGUCUAAUCUCUCAUCCUCCCUCACGCAUACCACACUGGCACCACUUUAUACAACAAUAGCCCGCUUACAAAUCCUGAUAAAUCUGAAAACCUCCUCGAUAUACUCAUGGGGAAGAAAACUAUUUAGACAUUUCUCCUUAUUACACCCCAGGAAUCGCUUGGCUAGUUGCUGCUUCGGGGGGUCACCUUCACCACUGUCAUUUCUACUUGCUGCUCUACCUCCUACUGCUCCAAGAGCUUGAUUCAAACCAGCUGUCUCAGAGGAGGAUGAGCAUUCUCAUUUUUGGCUAAAAUUAAAUACGGUGUAAAACAUCAGCUACUUUUAGUGCAUCUACUAAACACAGCUUAUGCACCUUCGGGGUUGGGGAUUUGGGAGGUUUUGACGUCUAAAACUAACGCUGUUUCUGUGAAGCAACUAUCUUCCUGUACACUACGGGGUCCUGCGUUAAGACCUAACAUCUACUGGCAAAAGAAGGCAGCAGCCGCAAGCUGGAACUAAGCGCAGCCUGGAUGAGAGGGUAAAUUCCGCGCUGAACAGGGAGAACACCAGCAGCUGACCACCCAGCCAGCCCAAACUCCAGGAUCGUUCUCCCGGGCAGUGGAGGAGAAGGAGGCCGAGGUUACCUGCGAGCCGGUGCCCCGAGCAGCAGGCGCG